AACGAACGCUGGCGGCAUGCCUAACACAUGCAAGUCGAACGAGACCUUCGGGUCUAGUGGCGCACGGGUGCGUAACGCGUGGGAACCUGCCCUUAGGUUCGGAAUAACUCCCCGAAAGGGGUGCUAAUACCGGAUAAUGUCUUCGGACCAAAGAUUUAUCGCCUUUGGAUGGGCCCGCGUUGGAUUAGCUAGUUGGUAGGGUAAAAGCCUACCAAGGCGACGAUCCAUAGCUGGUCUGAGAGGAUGAUCAGCCACGCUGGGACUGAGACACGGCCCAGACUCCUACGGGAGGGAGCAGUGGGGAAUAUUGGACAAGGGGGGAAAGCCUGGUACAGCAAUGCCGCGGGAGUGAUGAAGGCCUUAGGGUUGUAAAGCUCUUUUAGCCGGGAUGAUAAUGACAGUACCGGGAGAAGAAGCUCCGGCUAACUCCGUG
Molecule: ribosomal RNA, 433 nt
Filed under: uncultured bacterium
Lineage: Bacteria
Description: partial 16S ribosomal RNA
Rfam family: Bacterial small subunit ribosomal RNA
Source: RNAcentral